Unclassified non-coding RNA from Vombatus ursinus (common wombat), 288 nucleotides. It matches the Rfam family "Metazoan signal recognition particle RNA". Rfam says of the family: The signal recognition particle (SRP) is a universally conserved ribonucleoprotein. It is involved in the co-translational targeting of proteins to membranes. NCBI's taxonomy places the organism in Eukaryota, Metazoa, Chordata, Mammalia, Diprotodontia, Vombatidae. The record is from Ensembl.
ACAGGGCAUGACGGUGAACGCCUGUAAGCCCAGCUCCUGGGAAGUCUGAGACUAGCAGCUCUCUUGGGCUCUGACGUUCUGAGCUGCAGUGGGCUAUGCAAAUUGUGUCUGUGUUAAGUUUGGCAAUAAUAAGGUGAGAGCCUAGGAAUGGGGUGCUACCAGGUCGCCUAAGGAGAGGGGAACUGGUCAGAAAUGGGGCAAGUCAAAGCUCCUGUGACAUCAGUGGUGGGAUUGGGCCGAGGAGUUGCUACUAUACUAGCCUGGGUGAGAGGGGGAGAUUCAGUCUUU